GGAAGAGGAUGUGCCACAGGAGGAAGAGGAGGAGGAAGAGGGGUCAUUUCCACGGUUAUCAGGCCAGUCAUUCACAAGUGGCUUGGAGGGUGGGUUCCUGCACCAGCAUAGGCCAGGUACACAAUUGUCCAGCCAUGGCACAGUUCUGGAGGAUGAGGAGGAGGAUGAUGAGGAUGAACCGCGUUCACAGCAGGGUGGCACUCAACGCAGC
Molecule: non-coding RNA, 211 nt
Organism: Pelobates cultripes (western spadefoot toad)
Lineage: Eukaryota; Metazoa; Chordata; Amphibia; Anura; Pelobatidae
Source: the annotation of a GenBank genome assembly